GAUGUUGACCCAAGAGAAUAGAAAACUAUCAUGCGGCCAAUUAGAAAAGGGAGGAGGAGGUCACUUUGGCAUAUAAAUAUAAGAAGCAGCUCCACAAGCAAAAGGAAGUUGGAGAUGAGGAUUCACAUGACGGCACAUAAAAUUCACGUUUUGUGAAUUGAAAACAUUCACGCAUCACGAGAAGGGAAGAAGGCAUAUGGAUAGGGAAAAACUCAUAAUCAAUAGCGAUUGAAAGAAUUGAGGAGCAACG
RNAcentral lists this long non-coding RNA (250 nucleotides) under Medicago truncatula (barrel medic). RNAcentral describes it as "long non-coding RNA (MTRU_LNC000085)". Lineage: Eukaryota; Viridiplantae; Streptophyta; Magnoliopsida; Fabales; Fabaceae. The record is from RNAcentral.